GAGGGUAUAGCUCAAGUGGUAGAGUGCAUGCUUGGCAUGCACCAGGUCCUGGGUUCAAUCCCUGGUACCUCCU
Molecule: transfer RNA, 73 nt
Organism: Camelus ferus (Wild Bactrian camel)
Lineage: Eukaryota; Metazoa; Chordata; Mammalia; Artiodactyla; Camelidae
Rfam family: tRNA
About the family: Transfer RNA (tRNA) molecules are approximately 80 nucleotides in length. Their secondary structure includes four short double-helical elements and three loops (D, anti-codon, and T loops). Further hydrogen bonds mediate the characteristic L-shaped molecular structure. tRNAs have two regions of fundamental functional importance: the anti-codon, which is responsible for specific mRNA codon recognition, and the 3' end, to which the tRNAs corresponding amino acid is attached (by aminoacyl-tRNA synthetases). tRNAs cope with the degeneracy of the genetic code in two manners: having more than one tRNA (with a specific anti-codon) for a particular amino acid; and 'wobble' base-pairing, i.e. permitting non-standard base-pairing at the 3rd anti-codon position.
Source: Rfam